This 465-nucleotide ribosomal RNA is filed under the name uncultured Streptococcus sp. Its description in RNAcentral is "bacterial SSU rRNA". It matches the Rfam family "Bacterial small subunit ribosomal RNA", at positions 338 to 795 of the family's 1533-position model. Lineage: Bacteria; Bacillati; Bacillota; Bacilli; Lactobacillales; Streptococcaceae. The record is from RNAcentral.
CCUACGGGAGGCAGCAGUAGGGAAUCUUCGGCAAUGGACGGAAGUCUGACCGAGCAACGCCGCGUGAGUGAAGAAGGUUUUCGGAUCGUAAAGCUCUGUUGUAAGAGAAGAACGAGUGUGAGAGUGGAAAGUUCACACUGUGACGGUAUCUUACCAGAAAGGGACGGCUAACUACGUGCCAGCAGCCGCGGUAAUACGUAGGUCCCGAGCGUUGUCCGGAUUUAUUGGGCGUAAAGCGAGCGCAGGCGGUUAGAUAAGUCUGAAGUUAAAGGCUGUGGCUUAACCAUAGUACGCUUUGGAAACUGUUUAACUUGAGUGCAAGAGGGGAGAGUGGAAUUCCAUGUGUAGCGGUGAAAUGCGUAGAUAUAUGGAGGAACACCGGUGGCGAAAGCGGCUCUCUGGCUUGUAACUGACGCUGAGGCUCGAAAGCGUGGGGAGCAAACGGGAUUAGAUACCCGGGUAGUC